AUUGAACGCUGGCGGCAGGCCUAACACAUGCAAGUCGAACGAGUGGCGGACGGGUGAGUAAUGUCUGGGAAACUGCCCGAUGGAGGGGGAUAACUACUGGAGACGGUAGCUAAUACCGCAUACCAUCGGAUGUGCCCACAUGGGAUUAGCUAGUGGGUGGGGUAACGGCUCACCUAGGCGACGCUGCCUAGCUGGGCUGCGAGGAUGACCGGCCACACUGGAACUGAGACACGGUCCAGACUCCUACGGGAGGCAGCAGUGGGGAAUAUUGCACAAUGGGCGCAAGCCUGAUGGAGCCAUGCCGCGUGUAUGAAGAAGGCCUUCGGGUUGUAAAGUACUUUCAGCGGGGAAGCGUUACCCACAGAGGAAGCACCGGCUAACUCCGUGCCAGCAGCCGCGGUAAUAC
This 406-nucleotide ribosomal RNA is filed under the name uncultured bacterium. RNAcentral's name for it is "partial 16S ribosomal RNA". It matches the Rfam family "Bacterial small subunit ribosomal RNA", at positions 30 to 526 of the family's 1533-position model. The record is from RNAcentral.